AUUGAACGCUGGCGGCAUGCCUUACACAUGCAAGUCGAACGGCAGCACGGGAGCUUGCUCCUGGUGGCGAGUGGCGAACGGGUGAGUAAUGCAUCGGAACGUGCCCUGAAGUGGGGGAUAACGUAGCGAAAGUUACGCUAAUACCGCAUAUUCUGUGAGCAGGAAAGCAGGGGAUCUUCGGACCUUGCGCUUUUGGAGCGGCCGAUGUCGGAUUAGCUAGUUGGUGGGUAAAGGCCCACCAAGGCGACGAUCCGUAGCGGGUCUGAGAGGAUGAUCCGCCACACUGGAACUGAGACACGGUCCAGACUCCUACGGAGGCAGCAGUGGGGAAUUUUGGACAAUGGGCGCAAGCCUGAUCCAGCCAUGCCGCGUGAGUGAAGAAGGCC
This 386-nucleotide ribosomal RNA is filed under the name uncultured bacterium. RNAcentral describes it as "bacterial SSU rRNA". It matches the Rfam family "Bacterial small subunit ribosomal RNA", at positions 30 to 416 of the family's 1533-position model. The record is from RNAcentral.